Molecule: ribosomal RNA, 253 nt
Filed under: uncultured bacterium
Lineage: Bacteria
Description: partial 16S ribosomal RNA
Rfam family: Bacterial small subunit ribosomal RNA
Source: RNAcentral
UACGUAGGGUGCGAGCGUUGUCCGGAAUUAUUGGGCGUAAAGAGCUCGUAGGCGGUCUGUUACGUCUGCUGUGAAAACCCGGGGCUUAACCCUGGGCUUGCAGUGGAUACGGGUAGACUAGAGGCAGGUAGGGGAGAAUGGAAUUCCCGGUGUAGCGGUGAAAUGCGUAGAUAUCUGGAGGAACACCGGUGGCGAAGGCGGCAUCCUGGACCGGUAUUGACGCUGAGGCGCGAAAGCUAGGGGAGCAAACGGG